This 158-nucleotide ribosomal RNA is filed under the name Vibrio cholerae. Its description in RNAcentral is "partial 23S ribosomal RNA". It matches the Rfam family "Bacterial large subunit ribosomal RNA", at positions 1 to 154 of the family's 2925-position model. Lineage: Bacteria; Pseudomonadati; Pseudomonadota; Gammaproteobacteria; Vibrionales; Vibrionaceae. The record is from RNAcentral.
GUUGUAUGGUUAAGUGACUAAGCGUACACGGUGGAUGCCUGGGCAGUCAGAGGCGAUGAAGGACGUACUAACUUGCGAUAAGCGCAGAUAAGGCAGUAAGAGCCGUUUGAGUCUGCGAUUUCCGAAUGGGGAAACCCAACUGCAUAAGCAGUUACUGU